GAUGAACGCUGGCGGCGUGCCUAAUACAUGCAAGUCGAGCGAACAGACGAGGAGCUUGCUCCUCUGACGUUAGCGGCGGACGGGUGAGUAACACGUGGAUAACCUACCUAUAAGACUGGGAUAACUUCGGGAAACCGGAGCUAAUACCGGAUAAUAUAUUGAACCGCAUGGUUCAAUAGUGAGAGACGGUUUUGCUGUCACUUAUAGAUGGAUCCGCGCCGCAUUAGCUAGUUGGUAAGGUAACGGCUUACCAAGGCAACGAUGCGUAGCCGACCUGAGAGGGUGAUCGGCCACACUGGAACUGAGACACGGUCCAGACUCCUGCGGGAGGCAGCAGUAGGGAAUCUUCCGCAAUGGGCGAAAGCCUGACGGAGCAACGCCGCGUGAGUGAUGAAGGUCUUCGGAUCGUAAAACUCUGUUAUUAGGGAAGAACAAAUGUGUAAGUAACUAUGCACGUCUUGACGGUACCUAAUCAGAAAGCCACGGCUAACUACGUG
Molecule: ribosomal RNA, 497 nt
Filed under: uncultured bacterium
Lineage: Bacteria
Description: partial 16S ribosomal RNA
Rfam family: Bacterial small subunit ribosomal RNA
Source: RNAcentral